Long non-coding RNA from Astatotilapia calliptera (eastern happy), 1899 nucleotides. The record is from Ensembl. NCBI's taxonomy places the organism in Eukaryota, Metazoa, Chordata, Actinopteri, Cichliformes, Cichlidae.
AGGUUUUAGUACAUGAUAAAUGAGACAGCUCCUACCUAUAAAAGCAACAUAUUUGGACCUCUGUGUCCUCGCUGCUUUAUCUUGCACAGUGUCAAAGGCAAAGUGAUAAUGCUGUCAUGUCUAAUGGCAGCUUAGGGAAAUUACUAGCGUCUGAAAACACAUUUCAAAGAAUUCUUCUCAUUUUAAUCAUUUUGCAGACGUUUCUCUCUACUGUGACUUCAGCUUAUCUCCACCUAUGUUAGACAACGGGGAAAAUCAGGGUAGCAAACCAAUCAUUUGUUUAUUAUUUGAUACUAAAGAAUUUUAAUUUGUAAGCCGGGGAAACAUUUUCUCUGGAAUUUCUCUUUUAUAGGCAGUCAAAACAAAAUUUGCAGUUUAAAUCUGUGUUAGGCAGUUUGACUUUAAAGUUAAUAAGAGUCUUUUUUUUUUUUUAGAGCAGCAAUUUAUGGAAAAAAUGAACUCUCCAUGAUGUGUUCCCGUGCGAUCAGUUUGUGUCAGUCUGUACGAGUCUCACUAGCGAGCGUCGAAUUGCAGGGCAGGGCUGCUCCUGUCCUAACCGUUUGCUUUACAGCCCACCGACCACCACCACCAAGUCUGCUCACAUGUAAUGGCGUGUUCUCCCUGCAUGUGCCAUGUCCCACAUCCCAGCUGCAGCACGACAUCAUAAAAUAAGGGCUGACAUCUGUGAGUAUACCUCGGGUCACAAGGAGCUCUCUCCCGCUCCUCGUGUGCACUCGCACACAGAAAUGCGCGACGCUUCUCUCGACGUGUCUUGGGACUGAUCUUCUCUGAGCCUCUUCUCCUCCCAGUGUGCAGCCAGACAGAUGGAGAUUCAUCUCUCAACAAGCUGUGAUCUGUGUUUAGAGAUGUGUGCUGCAGAACACAACUCUAAUUAGGUUUAUUGUUGAUCUAGGGAGGUUAAUUUGUACUUGGCUGCAAGUGCUAAAGAAGGCCAACCUAGUUCCUUACGAGGCACCAGCACUGCAACCAUAAGAAGAACAGCUUUUUUAUCUUCUUGACUUUCGAGGUGAUUCAGAAUUAUUAUACCCUCUUGCUAUAUUUGUCUAGUUCGGUAUAAUUGCGCUUUGUACCGGGCUGAGAGAUCUGUCAUGGCCGGGGCGGUAGAACUGGAAAUGAGAUACUAGAAGUGUGUUUGUCUAAUGAGCUUAGGGGUACAGUUGUGUGGAUGUGGCAGGUAUUACUUAUUUUUUUUAUCCUGUUUUCUUUUUUUUCUUUUUUACAACCUCCAGGUAAGUAGCCUUGUCAAACUCUGAGAGAUGAGCCUGGCCCACACAAGUUUUUUCUCUCUCGCCACCUUCUUUCUUCACGCUAUUCACAGUCGUGUUUCUAAUGCACUCUGUGACAGAUCAGUUGUCAGCGGGAAUACAACAUAAUUAUGUUUCAUUUCGCAUUUCCGCCUAAUGGAAUACGCAAACAUUAUGGAGAUGAGACAAAGCAGGCAGUAACGAUUCCCUCCUUACCUGAGCUAAUUCUGUCUGAGGAGAAAUCUUAUUCAAGCAGCACUUUGCGCUUAACCAUGGCACUUUGAUAAAAUGCAUGCAUGUCCAGGGUGCAUGGGUGUCUAAAUAAAUUUGCCUGUAAAAGAAUUUACUUGUCUAAUGUUCUGCAGGUGUGUGCCAUUUGUGAAAGGAACAACUCUACCUAUAGGCCUGUUUGGUACUUUGCAGCUUGAGCAGCAUUGCACAUUUGUCUUGGUGUAUUUGCCAUUAACAGCUCAGUGUCAUGAGCAUGUAAGACUUACAGUUAAUGUGACCAUCACAGUAGUGCUGCACCGAAAAAUGCAUUUUAAGAAAACACAGCAUAUUCUUGUAACGACAGUUUAUGUUAUGGUGCCUAUUUUCUUUUAACUCAACAGGAUGGGAGUCAUCAGCUUUGCAC